Molecule: transfer RNA, 80 nt
Filed under: Ciona intestinalis (vase tunicate)
Lineage: Eukaryota; Metazoa; Chordata; Ascidiacea; Phlebobranchia; Cionidae
Description: tRNA-Arg (CCT) (tRNA-Arg-CCT-8-1)
Rfam family: tRNA
About the family: Transfer RNA (tRNA) molecules are approximately 80 nucleotides in length. Their secondary structure includes four short double-helical elements and three loops (D, anti-codon, and T loops). Further hydrogen bonds mediate the characteristic L-shaped molecular structure. tRNAs have two regions of fundamental functional importance: the anti-codon, which is responsible for specific mRNA codon recognition, and the 3' end, to which the tRNAs corresponding amino acid is attached (by aminoacyl-tRNA synthetases). tRNAs cope with the degeneracy of the genetic code in two manners: having more than one tRNA (with a specific anti-codon) for a particular amino acid; and 'wobble' base-pairing, i.e. permitting non-standard base-pairing at the 3rd anti-codon position.
Source: RNAcentral
GCCUCGGUGGCCUAAUGGAUAAGGCAUUGGCCUCCUAAGCCAAGGAUUGUGGGUUCGUGUCCCACCCGAGUUGUUAUGCU